This 257-nucleotide ribosomal RNA is filed under the name uncultured prokaryote. RNAcentral's name for it is "partial 16S ribosomal RNA". It matches the Rfam family "Bacterial small subunit ribosomal RNA", at positions 524 to 780 of the family's 1533-position model. The record is from RNAcentral.
UACGGAGGAUGCAAGCGUUAUCCGGAUUUAUUGGGUUUAAAGGGUGCGCAGGUUGUUUGAUAAGUCAGUGGUGAAAAACUGCCGCUUAACGGUAGUCUUGCCAUUGAUACUGUUUUUCUUGAGUAUGGAUGAGGUAGGCGGAAUGUGCAGUGUAGCGGUGAAAUGCAUAGAUAUUGCACGGAACUCCGAUUGCGAAGGCAGCUUACUGGACCAUUACUGACGCUCAGGCACGAAAGCGUGGGUAGCAAACAGGAUUA